This 444-nucleotide ribosomal RNA is filed under the name uncultured bacterium. RNAcentral describes it as "bacterial SSU rRNA". It matches the Rfam family "Bacterial small subunit ribosomal RNA", at positions 29 to 506 of the family's 1533-position model. The record is from RNAcentral.
AUGAACGCUGGCGGCGUGCCUUAAGCAUGCAAGUCGAUCGCACUGAAAAACCGCAAGGUUUUUUAGUGAGAGGCGGACGGGUGAGUACAAGCAAGGAACGUGCCCUUUACUGUGACAUAGCUCGUCGAAAGACGGGGUAAUAUCGCAUGAGCCCGCAAGGGCAAAGCGCUUAACCGCGCGGUAAAGGAGCGGCCUUGCAGCUAUCAGCUUGUUGGUGGGGUAAAGGCCUACCAAGGCGACGACGGCUAGGGGGUGUGAGAGCAUGGCCCCCCACAAUGGCACUGAGACACGGGCCAUACAUCUACGGAUGGCAGCAACUGGGAAUCGUUGGCAAUGGGCGAAAGCCUGACCACGCGACGCCGCGUGAGGGAUGAAGGCCUUCGGGUCGUAAACCUCUUUUAUUUGGCUAUCGAAGUCAUUUGAAUAAGCACCUACAAACUACGU